This 530-nucleotide ribosomal RNA is filed under the name Ptilocolepus granulatus. RNAcentral describes it as "bacterial SSU rRNA". It matches the Rfam family "Eukaryotic small subunit ribosomal RNA", at positions 626 to 1119 of the family's 1831-position model. The record is from RNAcentral. Lineage: Eukaryota; Metazoa; Arthropoda; Insecta; Trichoptera; Hydroptilidae.
UUWAAGCUCGUAGUUGAAAUUGUGUCCUGCGGUGUCGGUCUACCGACUGCGGUACGACAGGCACGUCAGCGGGGCUUCUCGCCGGUGCGUCCAUCGCCGAGGUGCGUCGUCCGUUUCGCCUAAUAAGCGAGCGGGCGUUCGCGUCAUCGGCGGUCCGUCGCGGCUGUUUACUUUGAACAAAUUAGAGUGCUCAAAGCGGGCUAAUUAUUGCCUGAAUAUUGUACGCAUGGAAUAAUAGAAUAGGACCUCGGUUCUGUUUUGUUGGCUUUCUGAUACCAGAGGUAAUGAUUAAUAGGGACAACUGGGGGCAUUCGUAUUGCGACGUUAGAGGUGAAAUUCUUGGAUCGUCGCAAGACGGACUAAAGCGAAAGCAUUUGCCAAAGGUGUUUUCAUUAAUCAAGAACGAAAGUUAGAGGUUCGAAGGCGAUUAGAUACCGCUGUAGUUCUAACCAUAAAUGAUGCCAGCCAGCGAUCCGCCGAAGUUUCAUAAAUAUAACCCGGUGGGCAGCUCCCGGGAAACCAAAGCUUUC